AUACGUAGGUGGCAAGCGUUGUCCGGAAUUAUUGGGCGUAAAGCGCGCGCAGGCGGUCCUUUAAGUCUGAUGUGAAAGCCCACGGCUCAACCGUGGAGGGUCAUUGGGAACUGGGGGGCUUGAGUGCAGAAGAGGAAAGUGGAAUUCCAAGUGGAGCGGUGAAAUGCGUAGAGAUUUGGAGGAAAACCAGUGGCGAAGGCGACUUUCUGGUCUGUAACUGACGCUGAGGCGCGAAAGCGUGGGGAGCAAACAGGAUUAGAUACCCUGGUAGUCCACGCCGUAAACGAUGAGUGCUAAGUGUUAGGGGGUUUCCGCCCCUUAGUGCUGCAGCUAACGCAUUAAGCACUCCGCCUGGGGAGUACGGUCGCAAGAAUGAAACUCAAAUGAAUUGACGGG
Molecule: ribosomal RNA, 396 nt
Filed under: uncultured bacterium
Lineage: Bacteria
Description: partial 16S ribosomal RNA
Rfam family: Bacterial small subunit ribosomal RNA
Source: RNAcentral